Molecule: ribosomal RNA, 643 nt
Filed under: uncultured low G+C Gram-positive bacterium
Lineage: Bacteria; Bacillati; Bacillota
Description: bacterial SSU rRNA
Rfam family: Bacterial small subunit ribosomal RNA
Source: RNAcentral
GCCCUUAGAGUUUGAUCAUGGCUCAGGACGAACGCUGGCGGCGUGCCUAACACAUGCAAGUCGAACGGGGUUUAGGGGAAAGCUUGCUUUCCCCGAAGACCUAGUGGCGAACGGGUGAGUAACACGUGGGCAACCUACCCAAAAGACCGGGAUAACAGGUCGAAAGGCCUGCUAAUACCGGAUGUACCGCUAAAGGGGCAUCCCUUAAGCGGCAAAUAGGUUUACUGCUUUUGGAUGGGCCCGCGUCCCAUUAGCUAGUUGGUGGAGUAACGGUUCACCAAGGCGACGAUGGGUAGCCGGCCUGAGAGGGUGAUCGGCCACACUGGGACUGAGACGCGGCCCAGACUCCUACGGGAGGCAGCAGUGGGGAAUAUUGCGCAAUGGGGGCAACCCUGACGCAGCGACGCCGCGUGAGUGAUGAAGGCCUUCGGGUUGUAAAGCUCUGUCAAGGGGGAAGAAUACUGACGGUACCCCUAAAGGAAGCCCCGGCUAACUACGUGCCAGCAGCCGCGGUAAUACGUAGGGGGCGAGCGUUGUCCGGAAUUACUGGGCGUAAAGGGCGUGUAGGCGGUCUGGUAAGUCAGCUGUGAAAACCCGGGGCUCAACCCUGGGAUUGCAGUUGAAACUACUUGACUUGAGUGCA